GGUAUCUAAGAGGCCGAUGCAUGCCGGAAGCAUAGCCGGACAUGAAAUCGCCACGGAGGCCGAUGCAUGCCGGAAACAGAGCCGUCCACCAUCAUUAGAGAAAAUGGUCGAUGACGGAGCCAAAAUCCGACCCCCCCCCCCCCNCCCCACACAAAAGGAACCGGUGUUAGACGGAAUGAAACGGUUAACCCACCGGACAACCGUGUCAGAACAUAACAGCCGCCGGAAGAAACCUUAGAUGAGAGUUUCUCUCUCUGGAAAAUUUAGAGAGAGAAGAGAGAGAAACUCCCCGCAGUCACCAUUCAUACCCUUAGUCUUUUGGUGAAAAAAAAUUAAUCAGAAAUGAAGAAAAAUGGUAAGAUCUCCUUAUAUAAGAGACUGAAUAAAAAAAACAUUUCCUGCUCAAUUUUUUUUUCUUUUUUCCCCUCUCUCUCUCUCUCUCUCUCGGUUGCGAUUGAAUCGACGAAACCAUUGAUGAAUUUGGAAUCAGAAGCUUGAAGGUUGGCUCAAUCAUUUGAAUCAAUUGGAAUCAGAAAGAGUGAAGAUGGAAGUAGAUGUUCCAGUAUCCGUAGCGUAUAAUUUCUACUUGGAUCAUGAAUCUUUUCCUUAAUGGAUGCCUUUUAUUUCAUCCGUAGAGCCUACUCCUAAUCAAAAGAUUCAUUGAAGAUCUCUUGAAGGUCUUCCUAAUAAAGAGACACACAACAAAUAACAGAGAUUACAAAUUGCAGAGGUUCUUGCUUGCUUUUUAAUUUGCAGAGGUGUUAAUAACUUGAGGAUUUUAAAAUUGAUUCGCACAAGGACGCCAAAGAAAAACAUCUUUACAAACUCAUCUUUUACAUGAGUUUAUCGUAUGAAGCAUCUUUCAAAUCUAACUGUAUCAUAUGAAGUCCCUGCGCUAUUAACCCCCAUGGCAUCGGCUACCUCUUAGGCCAUGAGUCGAGUGUGUGAAUGAAGCUACCUCUUAGGCCAUCAAUGAAGGUUAUGUUAUUGGGGAGGUUGCAUCACCGUAAUUUAGUGAACUUGGUUGGCUAUUGCGCAGAAAAAAGACAACACAUGCUUAUAUAUGUUUACAUGAGUAAAGGAAGCUUAGCUUCUCACUUAUACA
Molecule: long non-coding RNA, 1105 nt
Organism: Camelina sativa (false flax)
Lineage: Eukaryota; Viridiplantae; Streptophyta; Magnoliopsida; Brassicales; Brassicaceae
Source: RefSeq, a predicted model, not a curated record